RNAcentral lists this long non-coding RNA (619 nucleotides) under Theobroma cacao (cacao). Its description in RNAcentral is "long non-coding RNA (TCAC_LNC006464)". Lineage: Eukaryota; Viridiplantae; Streptophyta; Magnoliopsida; Malvales; Malvaceae. The record is from RNAcentral.
GACCCAGAACUCUCCAUCGAGCCCGUGACAACCGCCGCGAAGCCUCGACAAACAUUCUUCACCCCGAAUGUCGAUCGAAACCUCGCAAGGCUCUCGUAUCAGCUUUCGUACUUCCCCGGUGAGCAAUAGUUAUCAAAUAAUCAAAAUACGAAGGAUUACAAAUCAUUUCCAAAUCAUAACAUAACAUAUUUUUUUUGGCUCACAGGGGCAUUUUCGUCAUUUUUGUCGAAAACCUCGAAACUUGCUAAAAAUGUAGUAGGUACGUCGAAAAUAUAUAUUUAAUGAUUUAAAAAAAAUUAAGUAUCUAAACAUUCAUUUGAAGUGAAAAUUUGACCUUUUGAAUAUAAUAAAAAUAUUCAAUAAAAUAAAUUAUUUUCUUAUAAAAUAAUUUUCAUAAAACUAUCGGUACAUAAUUCUUAUAGCGUAAAAGUUAAUUAUAUUCAUAUAUACUAUAAAGCAAAUAACCAAAGUAUAAAAUUUCUUUUACAGUGACACGUGGGCCCACAUCUAUCCAAAAUGCAUCGGAAGCUAGAAACCUACAGCUUUUACCGAUUCGAGUCCAAAUGAAAGUCCUUGUCAAAGUUAGCUAACUAUGGAAUUCCCCGAGCCUGAAAUGUGA